Molecule: ribosomal RNA, 540 nt
Filed under: Triticum aestivum (bread wheat)
Lineage: Eukaryota; Viridiplantae; Streptophyta; Magnoliopsida; Poales; Poaceae
Description: partial small subunit ribosomal RNA
Source: RNAcentral
AUGUCGGCCUUCGACCCUUUUCCUCGUCGCCUGUGUGCUACUUUCAUCAAAGGGACCGAGCUCGUCUCGCACCCGACAGCAAGACCAUGCUCGUCUCACGCCCGAUGCCGCAGGACGGGUCGAUGGAGGCUAGUUUCAGCCGGCCUACUGGGUCUCGACACCGGGGGGCGCCUAGGGGUGCGAAAAAGGCGGGUCCUUUUCCCUCGUAUCAUAUGCGGCUUCAAUUGUUCGCGAUGGCAUGUUCAAGGCUGUCACCCUGGCCGCUCUUGCAGUGCUAGGGAUGGUGUUGCUGCGCUCAACGCCUAUGUGUGUUGUGGGUGCAUGCGUUUGUACCAGGACAAGAAUUGUAAAGUUUCAUAUGAUGCUACUAUUCAUGUAUUUCAUUCAAAGAAUGGAGAAGAGAAAAAUGUAGAAUUUUUUCCUUUAGUGUCACUUUCAAAAAAAACCAUAGAAAUUUUAAUAUCCACUUGGCCCUCCUUUUCAAAUUCAAGGAAAGCCUUUUUCAGUAAUAAAAUGGCAAGAUCUGUGCAAGGAUUGUGA